Molecule: long non-coding RNA, 355 nt
Organism: Diabrotica virgifera virgifera (western corn rootworm)
Lineage: Eukaryota; Metazoa; Arthropoda; Insecta; Coleoptera; Chrysomelidae
Exons: 2
Source: RefSeq, a predicted model, not a curated record
AUGACCUGUUUGUGUGAAUUACUUACAACAAAUUUCACACUUGUAAGGCAGUUUUCCCAGUGUGCACUCUCAAAUGACGUUUUAAAUGAUAUGGUCGAGUAAACUGUUUAAAACAAAUUUCACACUUCUCAGGUUUUUCACCAGUGUGCCCUCUCAAAUGGAAUUUCAAACUAUUUGCUUGACUAAACUGCUUAAAACAAAUUUCGCACUUAUAAGGCGUUUCUCCAGUGUGGACUCUCAAAUGUAUUUUCAAUGUAACUUUUUGGUUAAACUGCUUAAAACAAAUUUCACACUUAUAAGGCGUUUUUCCAGUGUGCACUCUCAAAUGUAUUUUCAAUUGAAUUUUUUGGUUAAA